GAACCAUGGAUAUAGGUUUUCCAAACUUGGGAUUCAAAAGAUUUGAUCCAAUGGCAACUUCAGCUACCUGGUUGAGCACCUAGAUCAUUCCCUUUGUCAAUUUGCCUACUAAUGUUGCCAAUUCUUCCAUGCAUCCUUUAGCAGCUAAGUUCUUCAAAGGUAAUACAAUAAAGAAAUUGCAAGGGUUUUUGAAUGGUCAAACGACAUCAGUAAUAGAUCCGUAUGAACGUAUGAAACUCGUUGUCACUAAUCUGUACUCCAUGAGUUCAUGUAUUUUUAUCAAUUUUGAAAUAUCAAAUAUAUAGUACAAAGAUGUUAUUUAUUUCCGAUGUUCAAAUUAAUUGGACUGAUUCUCACCUCUGUAUUAAUUGGACUGAAGAAGGAUCAGUAACAGGUUUUGCAAACCGAGUGACCACAGUAAAAUCUGGAUUUCCUAGGAACCAAAUCCUUCUUCCU
This 456-nucleotide long non-coding RNA is filed under the name Linum usitatissimum (flax). RNAcentral's name for it is "long non-coding RNA (LUSI_LNC007898)". Lineage: Eukaryota; Viridiplantae; Streptophyta; Magnoliopsida; Malpighiales; Linaceae. The record is from RNAcentral.